UACGUAGGGUGCAAGCGUUGUCCGGAAUUAUUGGGCGUAAAGAGCUCGUAGGCGGUCUGUCGCGUCGGCUGUGAAAACCCGGAGCUCAACUCCGGGCCUGCAGUCGAUACGGGCAGACUGGAGUUCGGCAGGGGGAGACUGGAAUUCCUGGUGUAGCGGUGAAAUGCGUAGAUAUCAGGAGGAAUACCGAUGGCGAAGGCAGGUCUCUGGGCUGACACUGACGCUCAUGCACGAAAGCGUGGGGAGCAAACAGG
Molecule: ribosomal RNA, 254 nt
Filed under: uncultured bacterium
Lineage: Bacteria
Description: partial 16S ribosomal RNA
Rfam family: Bacterial small subunit ribosomal RNA
Source: RNAcentral